GGUCUGCUCUCUCUCUCUCUAUACCUCCCUUCCAGUAGAUCUGCUCUCUCUUUCCCUCCUUCAUGCGGCGGCUCGUCCUCCUCCCUUUGGCCUCUCUGGUCGACGGCGGCACCAGCAGCAGCUCCGGGCCUCUCGAGCUAGAGGCGAGGUGGAGGUGGCCUUGCGGAGAAGGCGCGAAACGCAAAUGAAAUCCCACCCUACGCACAACUGAUCUGGGCCGCCGCCGUCUCCCCGCAACGCAUUCUACAACGACCUCCGACUCGUCUCUCCGGCCUGGGAGCACGAGCUCGGCUCGUCGUCUCGUUCCUCGACGAUGCUGCCUUAACUCAGGUCGUGCGGGGGGCUUUCUGCAAAAACACCUUGCAUGUCUACGGGUCAUGCCGACCCGUUGUACGUGUCCUAAUGAGCUGUCUGUUUAGCUGUGUGCAGAGUGAUUAAUUCAUUUUUUGACACAUAAACACAUGGUGAUCUAGUGCAUAAUUAAUCUUUACAGUUUUUUAUUGCAUACAUGAGAGAAUACACAAAACAUUCAAAUAAUUCACAUGACUCUUAAAAUAAUUCACUGCGUCCUGGUUGCCAUCAUCGGCCAGGUCUUCGUGAUCAUCACCAAGCAGAGUACGAUCAGCAUCAGAGAAAGGAGGAUCACCAUCAGGCACAACAGGAUCAUCACCAGGCGACAUCGAGCAAAAAAAAGAGUGGGAGAUAUAUCCAUACAGAAAUCACCAGUCAUUACAAGGACUCCGAGGGCUUCGAGCGCCUCAGGGAGAAGCUGCUCGUCUUCGAUUACAUGCCCAAGGGCAGCCUCACCUUGUUCUUGCAUGGUCAGACUUCAUAUCCAAGCUAUGCUCUUCUUCGCUACUGUCUAAAUUUUUUAUAUAUGAUUGACAAAUAUUACUUUGUACCUAAAUCUUUAAGCUUAUGUUAAUCAUAUUAGUAAAAUACGACAAAUGCUUGCUGCCUAGGAACACUGCCAAUUGACAGCGCUAAGUAUUAGUGAAUUGGCAUGUGAGGUCCUGUACCUCAUCAAUUGCUAGUAUGUUUCAGCAAAGGCAUGGUCUGAACUCUGAACAUUUACAUAUUCAGGCAUUGCAGUCUGUUUAGUUUUACACAUCUGAGCAAAUGCUAACAUUGAUGCAACUGUAAUUCACUAAUUCUGCUAGCAGGUCAACAUAGAGUUGCCAACUUUGCAUUCCAGACGCAUUUGUUUAACAUGUCAAAAAUCUUGUCAGUCAGAGCAUCAGUAUCUCACUUUCAUAACCAAUGCAGACAAGUUCAGUAGCAUGCUGGAGGAAGUGUUCAUGUUAGUUUCAGACUUUCAGUGACAAUGAAAACAAACUAGCACCUUGUGCAAUUUUUGUGGAACAAUUAGGAGGAUGUGUGUGCAUCCUAAUGAGUAAUACUAAAAAAGAACUCUAUUUCAGAAUUAUCCAAGUAAA
Long non-coding RNA from Panicum virgatum (switchgrass), 1436 nucleotides. RefSeq lists it as uncharacterized. The record is from RefSeq and is a predicted model, not a curated record. Lineage: Eukaryota; Viridiplantae; Streptophyta; Magnoliopsida; Poales; Poaceae. The transcript has 2 exons.